UUGGAGAAAAUUAUAGGAAGCUUUCUAGUGUUAUUGGAAUUCUAUCACGGAAAAUGUUGCCGGUUGGAUGCUCUGAUUGGAGGCUUGUGGAUGCUAAAAAGAAGAUGGCACUUUGGGAUGAAAUAAAGGUACUAUCUAUAUAUUGUUAUGAUAUUUGUGUGGUAUUUGUGCCAUUGCUCUUCAUGUCUUCUUCCAUACUGAUUGAAUUAUUUUCUUGCCUUUCUAGAA
This 228-nucleotide long non-coding RNA is filed under the name Sorghum bicolor (sorghum). RNAcentral's name for it is "long non-coding RNA (SBIC_LNC000685)". The record is from RNAcentral. Lineage: Eukaryota; Viridiplantae; Streptophyta; Magnoliopsida; Poales; Poaceae.